This 854-nucleotide long non-coding RNA is filed under the name Homo sapiens (human). RNAcentral describes it as "HSALNT0297012". The record is from RNAcentral. Lineage: Eukaryota; Metazoa; Chordata; Mammalia; Primates; Hominidae.
UAAAAUGAAAUAAAGAAAAGAAAAUAUGUCUAUGUCAAUCCUAUUCUGGUUUGCUGUCCUAUUCCUCAGAGGUCACAGGCUGACCACCUGCAGACUUUAUUUGGCCCAUAUAGAUGUUUUGUUUGUCCUCCACAUUCUAGGAGGACCAACCAUUCCAGUUUGGCCUGGACUCUCCUUGUUUUAGCACUGAAAGACCCAUGUCCCAGAAAUAUCUGACACAACUGGACCCUCUUGCAUGGCAACUAUAAGCGGGAACUGAGUCGCAGCUGCCCCAUUAGGGAGCUAAUCCUCAUCUGUAAAUACUGAAAAAGCAACUAACCUGGAGGGAACAAGGUUCUCAACUUUGUGGAAGCUGAGAUGAUGCCCUUUUCAUGGCUCAUCAUUUUAAUAUUGGCACAUGCCUGGCCCAUAAUAAGCAUUCAAGUAGCACUGACUGACUAACUGAAUGAAUGAAUAAAUGAAUUAAUGCUCAAAUGAAUAAAUAAAUGGUGCAAAAGGUGGUGGCCUUUUUUUUUUCAUUAGGGCUAUGAUGGCUGCUGAAGAAGGUGUAGGCUUUGAGGUUGGGAAGAUAUGAGUUCAAACCCUAGUUUUUAAUCCCAGCUCUGCCUUCCCUUGCCAGAUGUCUUUGAACAAGCAGUUCCUCUGAGCUUUGGUAUCCAUGUUGGCCUAACAGAAAUAAUACUAUCUAUGCCUCAUAGGGAAGCUGUGAAGAUUAUAUGAGAAAAUGUUCAAGGCCUCAUACAAAGGAGGUACCCAAUAAAGAGUAGCUAAUUAAAAAGUCGUUCACAAGGGAAGUCGGACACAGUGGUCAUGCCUGUAAUCUCAGCACUCUGUGAGACCAAGGUGAGCAGAUU